UGCAAACCACUGACGCAUACUGAU
This 24-nucleotide non-coding RNA is filed under the name Arabidopsis thaliana (thale cress). The record is from RNAcentral. Lineage: Eukaryota; Viridiplantae; Streptophyta; Magnoliopsida; Brassicales; Brassicaceae.